This 465-nucleotide ribosomal RNA is filed under the name uncultured bacterium. Its description in RNAcentral is "partial 16S ribosomal RNA". It matches the Rfam family "Bacterial small subunit ribosomal RNA", at positions 338 to 795 of the family's 1533-position model. The record is from RNAcentral.
CCUACGGGAGGCAGCAGUAGGGAAUCUUCCACAAUGGGCGAAAGCCUGAUGGAGCAACGCCGCGUGGGUGAAGAAGGUCUUCGGAUCGUAAAACCCUGUUGUUAGAGAAGAAAGUGCGUGAGAGUAACUGUUCACGUUUCGACGGUAUCUAACCAGACAGCCACGGCUAACUACGUGCCAGCAGCCGCGGUAAUACGUAGGUGGCAAGCGUUAUCCGGAUUUAUUGGGCGUAAAGGGAACGCAGGCGGUCUUUUAAGUCUGAUGUGAAAGGCUUCGGCUUAACCGGAGUAGUGCAUUGGAAACUGGAAGACUUGAGUGCAGAAGAGGAGAGUGGAAUGCCAUGGGUAGCGGUGAAAUGCGUAGAUAUAUGGAAGAACACCAGUGGCGAAAGCGGCUCUCUGGUCUGUAACUGACGCUGAGGUUCGAAAGCGUGGGUAGCAAACAGGAUUAGAUGCCCGUGUAGUC